AUGGAUCUGUAGGAGCAACGGCUGGCCAUCGGGCAAUAGCUCAAAGUAACAGUGCAGAGAUUGCUGAGGCCUUGUUUCGUUACACUGCACCAGAAGAAGUGAUGACUUUCCCAUCAACAUGUGGAGCUUGUGCAGUUAGGUGUGAGACUCGAAUGUUUGUAACCAAAAUUCCCUACUUCCAAGAAGUGAUUGUCAUGGCAACUACUUGUGAUGCUUGUGGUUACCGUAGU
RNAcentral lists this unclassified non-coding RNA (230 nucleotides) under Hevea brasiliensis (rubber tree). The record is from RNAcentral. Lineage: Eukaryota; Viridiplantae; Streptophyta; Magnoliopsida; Malpighiales; Euphorbiaceae.